This 76-nucleotide transfer RNA is filed under the name Lethrinus laticaudis (grass emperor). Its description in RNAcentral is "tRNA-Lys". It matches the Rfam family "tRNA". Rfam says of the family: Transfer RNA (tRNA) molecules are approximately 80 nucleotides in length. Their secondary structure includes four short double-helical elements and three loops (D, anti-codon, and T loops). The record is from RNAcentral. Lineage: Eukaryota; Metazoa; Chordata; Actinopteri; Spariformes; Lethrinidae. RNAcentral also lists the same sequence under 1 other name.
CGCUAAGAAGCUAAAUAGGAAUACUAGCGUUAGCCUUUUAAGCUAAAGAAUGGUGCUUUCCAACCACCCUUAGUGA